CUGUGUUGCAGUGGUAGCAUGGGCCCUCGACAAGGGCGAAACGCGGGUUCAACUCCCGUGCCAGGUCGA
This is a non-coding RNA of Parelaphostrongylus tenuis, 69 nucleotides long. The record is from the annotation of a GenBank genome assembly. Lineage: Eukaryota; Metazoa; Nematoda; Chromadorea; Rhabditida; Metastrongylidae.